RNAcentral lists this long non-coding RNA (220 nucleotides) under Bos taurus (domestic cattle). RNAcentral's name for it is "long non-coding RNA NONBTAT020042". The record is from RNAcentral. Lineage: Eukaryota; Metazoa; Chordata; Mammalia; Artiodactyla; Bovidae.
GUGCAGUUGGAUAUCAAACAGAAGAUAACUGCUGUUCAAAGAAAGAAGCAGUUUGGUAAGUUUAAGGUUAAACAAAAAUAAAAUUACUUUUCAUUUGUCCUCACCUUUUGUUUUUGUUAAUAGCUGCCUCUCAUGUCUAAAUACUUAAAUUUGGUAGUUCUUACCUUCAAAACUGGCUUCCCUGAGGGCUGCCUGGUCCACAUUUGCAAAGUGGGGCACA